This 1098-nucleotide long non-coding RNA is filed under the name Fragaria vesca (wild strawberry). RNAcentral's name for it is "long non-coding RNA (FVES_LNC003416)". Lineage: Eukaryota; Viridiplantae; Streptophyta; Magnoliopsida; Rosales; Rosaceae. The record is from RNAcentral.
AACCUUAUCAUAAUGUCGAUUAUAUAAGUCAGACGGGAGCCAUCACGAAAAAAAUAAGAAGCAAAACCCUAAAGCUCUCUCUCUAAGUCGGCAGCCAACCAAGGAAUCUCACCCUCAUCCGACAACAGUCUAAAGCUAGGCGGGUCUGUAAAUCUGCUGAAGCAAUAUGACUUUGUUGCCGGAUGAAGGAUAUGUCAGCAACCAAAUGUUUUGAGAGGUAAUUGACCAGAGAUUCUUAACAUCUUUUGAUUAGUGGGGCUUUUCAUAUCAGUUUAGAGGUAUGGCAUCAUGGACUCGAGGAGCAGACCUGGUUUCAUCUUCCUAAUUCCAUCUCUGUCCUUGUUUAUUCAUGGGAGAAGUUUUUAGUUUGGUAGAGAUGUUGUUUGGUCUCUAAGUUCAUGGCGAUGAUGGAGUUUCUUGACUUCUUCUCCCAGGGGUGUGCUUGUGGCUGCGUGGAUCGGAACAAGAUGGCAACGUCUCACGAAGGCAACUUCAUCUCUCACGGCAGCGACGGCUACGAUGUUCUUCUUCCAUGUCCUUCCUGCAACUAUGAAGGAAAAUCGAGCUAGGUCAACUGUUUUGAGUUUAGGUUUAGUUUCUUUUUGGGCUUUGGGUUGCUUUUUUAGUUUAUAGUUUUCUAUUACAAUAAGUUCUUUUCAUUAUGACUCUAUUUCAUUAGGACUCUAAUUAGCACUUUUGUGCCUAAGCACUUUUUUGUGUUUCAUGACGUCUUGGCGUUAUGAGUCUAUUUUUCUAUUAGUCUUUUUCUAGUUUUCUAGGUGGGAUCUUAGUCUAUAAUCUAUUUUCUAUUAUAUUGUAGGCUCACUUGUAGGCCGAAAUGUAAAUGAGGAUACAACCUUCAUACGAAUUUUAUGAUCUUGUUUGUCUUUUAUACGCAACAAAUCAAUUUGUAUUGUACCGUUUACUUGAAUAUUAAUGACAAAAUUGUCUUUGAGUUCAACUAAAAAUAAUGUCGAUUAUAUGUAAACGGUUUAAAAUACACAAGUGAAAACAUUUUUCAACUUCGAUUCUUUCGUUUUGGUUAGAUGUACUCAUAAUUUGUUCUUAACUCUCAUUUUUUAUUUUUGAUCAUCUUUA